This 253-nucleotide ribosomal RNA is filed under the name uncultured bacterium. RNAcentral's name for it is "partial 16S ribosomal RNA". It matches the Rfam family "Bacterial small subunit ribosomal RNA", at positions 524 to 776 of the family's 1533-position model. The record is from RNAcentral.
UACGAAGGGUGCAAGCGUUACUCGGAAUUACUGGGCGUAAAGCGCGCGUAGGUGGUGAGUUAAGUCUGUCGUGAAAGCCCCGGGCUCAACCUGGGAAUGGCGAUGGAUACUGGCUCGCUAGAGUGCGGUAGAGGAGAGUGGAAUUCCCGGUGUGGCAGUGAAAUGCGUAGAGAUCGGGAGGAACAUCAGUUGCGAAGGCGGCUCUCUGGACCAGCACUGACACUGAGGCACGAAAGCGUGGGGAGCAAACAGG